RNAcentral lists this long non-coding RNA (363 nucleotides) under Helianthus annuus (common sunflower). Its description in RNAcentral is "hypothetical non coding rna". The record is from RNAcentral. Lineage: Eukaryota; Viridiplantae; Streptophyta; Magnoliopsida; Asterales; Asteraceae.
GUAACCCUAAUACACCCAUACCCCUUGCAUCCAGGGCACCCUCUACUUUCUUCUAUCUUAUAUUCAUAUUAUUCAGUUUUGCUUCCACUAUUUCCAACCGAUCUCCCUCAAUUCACACUUUUUUGCAAUCGUUAUUCAUCAUCAUCAUACUCCGAUAAUCACGAACUCGCAUCGGAAACCACCACGACUCCAAUUGUAGCCAUCACCACCGUUCACAGCCACCACGACCGCUCGCAACUACCACGACCGCUCGCAACAACCACCGUCGUAAGUCCUCUCAAUUUCUCACACUGAUUCAACAAAAUACUCACUUAUGUUUCGUUUUUCAUGAUUUGUUUUGCUGAAUGUAUUACCUCCGUUUAA